Molecule: ribosomal RNA, 492 nt
Filed under: uncultured bacterium
Lineage: Bacteria
Description: partial 16S ribosomal RNA
Rfam family: Bacterial small subunit ribosomal RNA
Source: RNAcentral
AGUGAACGCUGGCGGUAGGCCUAACACAUGCAAGUCGAACGGCAGCACAGUAAGAGCUUGCUCUUACGGGUGGCGAGUGGCGGACGGGUGAGGAAUACAUCGGGAUCUACUUUUUCGUGGGGGAUAACGUAGGGAAACUUACGCUAAUACCGCAUACGACCUACGGGUGAAAGCAGGGGAUCUUCGGACCUUGUGCGAUUGAAUGAGCCGGUGUCGGAUUAGCUAGUUGGCGGGGUAAAGGCCCACCAAGGCGACGAUCCGUAGCUGGUCUGAGAGGAUGAUCAGCCACACUGGAACUGAAACACGGUCCAGACUCCUACGGGAGGCAGCAGUGGGGAAUAUUGGACAAUGGGCACAAGCCUUAUCCAGCCAUACCGCGUGGGUGAAGAAGGCCUUCGGGUUGUAAAGCCCUUUUGUUGGGAAAGAAAAGCAGCAGGUUAAUACCCCGCUGUUCUGACGGUACCCAAAGAAUAAGCACCGGCUAACUUCGUG